ACACAUGCAAGUCGAGCGGAAACGAGUUAUCUGAACCUUCGGGGGACGAUAACGGCGUCGAGCGGCGGACGGGUGAGUAAUGCCUAGGAAAUUGCCCUGAUGUGGGGGAUAACCAUUGGAAACGAUGGCUAAUACCGCAUAAUGCCUACGGGCCAAAGAGGGGGACCUUCGGGCCUCUCGCGUCAGGAUAUGCCUAGGUGGGAUUAGCUAGUUGGUGAGGUAAUGGCUCACCAAGGCGACGAUCCCUAGCUGGUCUGAGAGGAUGAUCAGCCACACUGGAACUGAGACACGGUCCAGACUCCUACGGGAGGCAGCAGUGGGGAAUAUUGCACAAUGGGCGCAAGCCUGAUGCAGCCAUGCCGCGUGUGUGAAGAAGGCCUUCGGGUUGUAAAGCACUUUCAGUCGUGAGGAAGGUAGUGUAGUUAAUAGCUGCAUUAUUUGACGUUAGCGACAGAAGAAGCACCGGCUAACUCCGUGCCAGCAGCCGCGGUAAUACGGAGGGUGCGAGCGUUAAUCGGAAUUACUGGGCGUAAAGCGCAUGCAGGUGGUUUGUUAAGUCAGAUGUGAAAGCCCGGGGCUCAACCUCGGAAUAGCAUUUGAAACUGGCAGACUAGAGUACUGUAGAGGGGGGUAGAAUUUCAGGUGUAGCGGUGAAAUGCGUAGAGAUCUGAAGGAAUACCGGUGGCGAAGGCGGCCCCCUGGACAGAUACUGACACUCAGAUGCGAAAGCGUGGGGAGCAAACAGGAUUAGAUACCCUGGUAGUCCACGCCGUAAACGAUGUCUACUUGGAGGUUGUGGCCUUGAGCCGUGGCUUUCGGAGCUAACGCGUUAAGUAGACCGCCUGGGGAGUACGGUCGCAAGAUUAAAACUCAAAUGAAUUGACGGGGGCCCGCACAAGCGGUGGAGCAUGUGGUUUAAUUCGAUGCAACGCGAAGAACCUUACCUACUCUUGACAUCCAGAGAACUUUCCAGAGAUGGAUUGGUGCCUUCGGGAACUCUGAGACAGGUGCUGCAUGGCUGUCGUCAGCUCGUGUUGUGAAAUGUUGGGUUAAGUCCCGCAACGAGCGCAACCCUUAUCCUUGUUUGCCAGCGAGUAAUGUCGGGAACUCCAGGGAGACUGCCGGUGAUAAACCGGAGGAAGGUGGGGACGACGUCAAGUCAUCAUGGCCCUUACGAGUAGGGCUACACACGUGCUACAAUGGCGCAUACAGAGGGCAGCAAGCUAGCGAUAGUGAGCGAAUCCCAAAAAGUGCGUCGUAGUCCGGAUUGGAGUCUGCAACUCGACUCCAUGAAGUCGGAAUCGCUAGUAAUCGUGGAUCAGAAUGCCACGGUGAAUACGUUCCCGGGCCUUGUACACACCGCCCGUCACACCAUGGGAGUGGGCUGCAAAAGAAGUAGGUAGUUUAACCUUCGGGAGGACGCU
This 1424-nucleotide ribosomal RNA is filed under the name Vibrio sp. PaH2.12a2. Its description in RNAcentral is "16S ribosomal RNA". It matches the Rfam family "Bacterial small subunit ribosomal RNA". Lineage: Bacteria; Pseudomonadati; Pseudomonadota; Gammaproteobacteria; Vibrionales; Vibrionaceae. The record is from RNAcentral.